AGUGAACGCUGGCGGUAGGCCUAACACAUGCAAGUCGAACGGCAGCACAGUAAGAGCUUGCUCUUACGGGUGGCGAGUGGCGGACGGGUGAGGAAUACAUCGGAAUCUACUUUUUCGUGGGGGAUAACGUAGGGAAACUUACGCUAAUACCGCAUACGACCUACGGGUGAAAGCAGGGGAUCUUCGGACCUUGCGCGAUUGAAUGAGCCGAUGUCGGAUUAGCUAGUUGGCGGGGUAAAGGCCCACCAAGGCGACGAUCCGUAGCUGGUCUGAGAGGAUGAUCAGCCACACUGGAACUGAGACACGGUCCAGACUCCUACGGGAGGCAGCAGUGGGGAAUAUUGGACAAUGGGCGCAAGCCUGAUCCAGCCAUACCGCGUGAGUGAAGAAGGCCUUCGGGUUGUAAAGCCCUUUUGUUGGGAAAGAAAAGCAGCAGGUUAAUACCCCGAUGUUCUGACGGUACCCAAAGAAUAAGCACCGGCUAACUUCGUG
RNAcentral lists this ribosomal RNA (492 nucleotides) under uncultured bacterium. RNAcentral's name for it is "partial 16S ribosomal RNA". It matches the Rfam family "Bacterial small subunit ribosomal RNA", at positions 29 to 507 of the family's 1533-position model. The record is from RNAcentral.